GCCCAUCUAGCUCAAUUGGAUAGAGCGUCAGAAUCCUACUGUGAAGGUUGGGGGUUCGAAAUCCUCGAUGCGUU
Molecule: transfer RNA, 74 nt
Filed under: Sparassis crispa
Lineage: Eukaryota; Fungi; Basidiomycota; Agaricomycetes; Polyporales; Sparassidaceae
Description: tRNA-Arg
Rfam family: tRNA
About the family: Transfer RNA (tRNA) molecules are approximately 80 nucleotides in length.
Source: RNAcentral